AUUGAACGCUGGCGGCAGGCCUAACACAUGCAAGUCGAACGGUAACAGGAAGAAGCUUGCUUCUUUGCUGACGAGUGGCGGACGGGUGAGUAAUGUCUGGGAAACUGCCUGAUGGAGGGGGAUAACUACUGGAAACGGUAGCUAAUACCGCAUAACGUCGCAAGACCAAAGAGGGGGACCUUCGGGCCUCUUGCCAUCGGAUGUGCCCAGAUUGGAUUAGCUAGUAGGUGGGGUAAGGGCUCACCUAGGCGACGAUCCCUAGCUGGUCUGAGAGGAUGACCAGCCACACUGGAACUAAGACACGGUCCAGACUCCUACGGGAGGCAGCAGUGGGGAAUACUGCACAAUGGGCGCAAGCCUGAUGCAGCCAUGCCGCGUGUAUGAAGAAGGCCUUCGGGUUGUAAAGUACUUUCAGCGGGGAGGAAGGGAGUAAAGUUAAUACCUUUGCUCAUUGACGUUACCCGCAGAAGAAGCACCGGCUAACUCCGUG
Molecule: ribosomal RNA, 490 nt
Filed under: uncultured bacterium
Lineage: Bacteria
Description: partial 16S ribosomal RNA
Rfam family: Bacterial small subunit ribosomal RNA
Source: RNAcentral